Molecule: microRNA precursor, 68 nt
Filed under: Schistosoma mansoni
Lineage: Eukaryota; Metazoa; Platyhelminthes; Trematoda; Strigeidida; Schistosomatidae
Description: microRNA sma-mir-8440 precursor
Source: miRBase by way of RNAcentral
UUUUAUUACUGAGACAACGAACAUGCCUGUUUCAUUAAAAAGGGAUGGUUCGUUUCUGAGUAAGGUUU